RNAcentral lists this small RNA (36 nucleotides) under Acididesulfobacillus acetoxydans. RNAcentral's name for it is "CRISPR spacer". Lineage: Bacteria; Bacillati; Bacillota; Clostridia; Eubacteriales; Peptococcaceae. The record is from RNAcentral.
CGUCUUCGGCUACACCCCCUUUAAGUGCUCCCAUUU